This 5348-nucleotide long non-coding RNA is filed under the name Capra hircus (goat). RNAcentral describes it as "lncRNA (ENSCHIG00000007352.1)". The record is from RNAcentral. Lineage: Eukaryota; Metazoa; Chordata; Mammalia; Artiodactyla; Bovidae.
GCUCCCCAAACAGACGCACACCCAGCCACACGCGCGCGCGCGCACAUACACACACACACACACACACACACACGCACGCACCCCCGCGCGCACACGCCCGCCCGCUCUGCCUCUGCGCCCUCCAUCCCGGCUCGCUCAUUCUCUCGCCCUCUCGCUUCCCCUGCGGUCUCUCGCUCUGCGCGCACACACCACACACAGGCACACGCACACACACGCGCGCACACACGCAGCCGGCACAGGCAGCAGCGGCGGCGGCUGCUCAAGUCAGGACGAACCUCUCUAGAGCAUGGCGGGCUGCGGGCUGUCGGAAGACACCUUCUUCUCUUCCUUCUUUUACAACUACGGCUCCUCCGGGGAAACCCCUUCCAACCAGGUAAGGGGUGGCUCGGUGCCUGGCGGCGUCGCGCCCCGUGCCCCUCGCCGUGCGCUCACUUGGCACUCGGCGGGGAGGCAGAGGCUUGGGAGGGGGUGGGGAGGCUGGGGGGCCAAGUGGGUCGCAACGUCUGGGUCAGUGCCAACCGGCUAGAGGAGGUGUCCCCCUUCCCCCAGCACGAGCUCUUUGGUCUCCAGGGUCUGUCGCGUCCCUCCCUUGUCCAAUCUGCCAUCCAAACCUUCCCCUUCCAACCUCCCAACCCAGCGGGAACCAGAGAGAGAGGCAGGAGCCGGCACGUUACCCCGAACAACUCCAGGCAAAACCAGGGAACUCGAGCGCAACCUUCCCCAAGUCGCCGCGGGCGCCGCGCCCCUGUGCGCCCGGCGCCUGCCCGCCCUCCAGUUGCGCCGAGGGGCUGCAGAGCUGAUUUAAAGGAAACUGACAAUAACCUUGGAAGCACGUGGAAUUCAGCAAGUGUCUUCUGGGAACCUCCUCUGUGCCAAGUGCUAUGUUGUUCCCUGUGGGAAGAUGUAAAAGAGUUCCUGCUCUGCAGAUACUUCUAGUCUCCCUCGGGUUUCAGGAAGAGUGUAUGAAAACUUUACCACCACCGCAGUAACAGUUCAGGGCAACCGUUACAAGGCCUCCCAGGAUUAACUGUCAAGUGAAUCGCACAGAUAAUCAUUGUUCUAGGAACUCCUAGAGACCACUCUUUGAGUUUGCUUUUGGGCGAGGGAUUUGAACAGGCAUCCAAAGAUUGGGAAUAUGCUCCGAAACAGACUGGAGAGAAGAGCGGAAGUCAGAGUGAGAUACUGGAGCAGUUCCUCUUUUGGAAGAAUUCCUUCAGGGGAAAAGUCUCCACGGAGGUACGGGAUUUGACCCAGGGGGCUGAGUCACCUGCCCAUGACUGGUUGGUAAAUUCAUGGCAAAUCCAGGCUUAGAACGCCAGGGUCUGUUUGAGUGAAGGGGUCAUGUUAUUGGGGUCUAUCUUGGAUCUUUGAUGAGAAAGUGAAAGUGAAAGUCACUCAGUCACAUCCGACUCUGUGACCCCAUGGACUAUAGUCUACCUGGAAUUCGCUCAGUCACGGCCGACUCUUUGUGACCCCAUGGACUAUAGUCUACCUGAAAUUCUCCAGGCCAGAAUGCUGAUGGGAAAGAUCAGAGCAAUGAUAACAGGAUUCUGUGAGUGACUUCGGGGUCCUUGUGCCUGCAGGUUAGAAUCUAUCUAAUCCUGUCUUGGAAAGUUUCGUAUUUUCUUCUGGAACUCUUUUUUUUUUCAUAUGAAAGUGGUUAUGGGAACCCCCACGUUGUUGCUGUAUCUGACCACAUUCCUAGGUUUGAGUGUCUGCCUGAUACCAGUUGAACACUUAAUAGGUCACCAUUGGAGGCUGUUUUAGUGACUCCAACCUGGAACCUGGAGGAAGUCAAGAGGGAAACAGGAAUAAAUGACAAGUACAGAGAAUGGAAGGACCCAUAUGGAUUACUUGUAACUGGUGUGCCCAAGGAGUCCUAGCUGCUCUGUAGAGUGGUGGCUCUCAAAGUUGGUCUUAUGAACUGCAAAGCCCAGUUCAGUUAAACUUCUCGCUCAAAAAUCUCCCAAUUUAGAACAGAUGAAGAUGGUCUUCCCACAUCCCCUGCACCUGAGUCGUCCCUGAGAGGGUGAAGAGGCUGAGUCCUAACCAGUGGACCACCAGGGAAUUCACAAUAUCUUUUUAUUUUGUAUCUUAUCCUCUUCAAGUUCUUUUUGGUUCAUGGGCUAUAAUAUAUAUAGUAUAUUAAUGCAGAAGUAAUGUAUAAUUAAAUUAUAAAUUAAAAAACAUUCUGGGGAUUUGCGCUCAAUUUAAUUCUUUUACUUUACUAGUGGAAAUAAUGUUUGGAAACCUCAGUCCUGGUCUGUGAGUUUCAAGCUUCAGUAUUUUAAUUCUCUUCUACUAAUGGGGCUAGAUCCCAUUGUGAUAUAAACAGGAUGCCCAGCUCUUCUGAGAAGAGAGUUUAACUGCUCACAGGCAUUCUGCAGUUUGUCAUUUAUGGCAGGUUUUGAGGACAUCAACAUUGCAGUGGUAUUUUUGAGAGGAAAUUUUUAUCAUUAUAGCUCCAACACACAUCACAAGCAGAAACAAUAAUUUCAUUAGCAGCCAAAAAUUGUAAUAAUGCUGUUGAAUAUAAAUUUCACUGCUAUGGUAAUUCUAAAACACAAGUAUGAUGAGUAAAAAAUUGCAGCAGUAUUACUGGGAAUAAACUUUAUUGCCGUGAGUAAGACACAAGUGGGAGGAUUGAUGGAGACUCAGAUUUUGGAUGAUUAUUUUCAGCCAGUGGUGUUCAGUAGGAACAUAGGUUACUUUUCCCUCCAGUGCCAUACCCUCAUCUCUGGUGGAGAAUCCCUGCUCCAUAGAGAAUGGAAUAAUGCUCCCUUCGCUCAAACUGCAACUCACAUAUGUCUUUUACUCAGUCUUUUAUUACCUCAGUCAUUCUAUCCUGUUGCUUAAGACAGAACCCAAGAAUUGUCCUCUCUUUCCCUGUUUCUCCCAAUGCAUCACCAAGUGCUAUCAGUUCUAACUCUGAGUCAGUUUAUUCCUCUCCAUCUUCUCUGCCUCCCCCUGUUCCAGUGCUGGACCUCCUACUAAACUACCCACUCUCUGUGCUAUUCCCUUCCAACCAGCUAUCUGUCUUCCAGAGCCAGAGUGAAUGUUGCCCUGUGGGAACUGGAUCAACCAUCUUCCAGUUAACUCCCUCUUGUGGCUUUCUUUAUCGACACAUUUCAAUCCAAACUCCUUACCAUGGGUUUCAAGAUCCUGCAGGAUGUCCAGUCUCAUCCCCUGCAGUCCUCACCCGGGGUCACUAUGUCUAACCACUCAUGUCUGUCUGCUAAUUCUUAGACUCUGCUCUGGCCUGAAUUGGGUCAUUUUACCCACUGCCCAAGUUCACAUGUUGAAGCUGUAAACCCCUAAAGGUGACAGCGCCUUUGGGAGAUAAUAAGGACUAGAUGAAGUCAUGAGGGUGGGGGGGUCCUCAUGACAGAAUUAGUGUCCUGAUAUAGAGACACCAGAGAACCUGCUUCUUUCUCUGUCAUGUGAGGACACAGAAAGAAGAUGGUCUGCUGAAAGCUGGGAAGAGCACCCUCAUCAGGAGCCUAUCAACCAGCACCUUGAUUUUGGACUUCUCAGCCUCCAGAACUGUGAGAAAUACAUGCCUGUUGUUUAAGUCAGAGAGUCUGUGGUAUUUUGUUAUGGCAGUAAGAGCUGAUUAAAACAGACACCAAGUGCUUGCCAGGCCUGGUGCGUUAGUUCCCUCAGCUCUGAGCUGCCUACAUCUAGACUUCAAGUUAUGUAUGUCCCUUCCUUGAAACAUGCCUCCUUGACCACCUAGGUAAAGUGACCACUUAUGGGCCUAGGUUACUGCCCAUCUCUGCACCUGAGAUGUGGCCUCCACUCCUCUAGGGGGCACUGUUCACAUAGACUAUGGGGUAAAAGAUGGCCUUGGAAGCUGUGUAGUGAGAGUAGUCCUUCCUCAUCUCCUUUCUUUCCUUCACAGAUAUUGACCUAAUCUGACAUCAUCUUACAUGUUUGUGUACUGCUUUGAUAGACAAAAGCUCAGUCUUGAAGUAUAAAUUAAAAUUAAUGAGGUACACCUCAUAUCAGUAAAAAUGGCCAUCAUUACAAAGUCUACAAAUAGCAAAUGCUGGAGAGGGUGUGGAGAAAAGGGAACCCUCCUGCACUGGUGGUGGGAAAGUAAACUGGUAGAAUCACUAUGAAGAACUGUAUGGAGGUUCCUCAGAAAACUAACAAUAGAGUUGCCAUAUGAUCCUGCAAUCCCAUCCUUGGGCCUAUAUCUGGAGAAAACUCUAAUUUGAAAAGAUACAUGCACCCCAAUGUUCAUUGCAGCACUGUUUACUAUAGUGAAGACAUGGACACAAGCUAAAUGUCCUUCAACAGAGGAAUGAAUAAAGAAGAUAUAUUACAUAUAUACAAUGGAAUACUAUUCAGCUGUAAGAAGAAUGAAAUAAUGCCGCAUGCCGCAAGAUGAAUGGACCUAGAGAUUAUCAUACCAAGUGAAGUAAGUCAGAAAGACGAUACCAUAUGAUAUCACUUAUAUGUGAGUCUAAAAUAUGACAUGAAUGAACUUAUCUAUGUAGUAGAAACAGACUCACAGACAUAAAGAACAGAACUGUAGUUUCCAAGGCGGUGGGGGGAGGGUGGGGAAGGGUGGAUUGGGAGUUUAGGAUUAGCAGAUGCAAGCUGUUAUACAGAGAAUGGCUAGACAACAAGGUCCCUCUGUUUGGCACAGGGAGCUAUGUUCAGUAUCCUGUGAUAAACCAUAAUGGAAAAGAUUAUGAAAAAGAAGGUAUAUAUGUGUAUAAAUGGAUCACUUUGCUGUAUAGUAAAAAUUAACACAACAUUGUAAAUCACCUCUACAUCAAUAAAAUAAAUUUUAAAUAAAGAGCCCAGUCUUUUAAGAGAGCUCUUAUAAUUUUCAGGUUUGUAGUUCCACGUCUGAUGGGGAGGACAGAUACCAUCACAUAUUGGCAAACAAAAUGCCAGGUGUUCACGUUGCUCUGCUGAGUUCUCCGUGAGGUAAGUCAGGCAGACGUUCCUCGCCAGGCAGACACGCUGUGGGGUGGCAAGGAGGUGUCAGCUCAUCUGCCACCUCUGCUCACCUGUGAGAGCUGCAGAGAGCGCUGCCUUGCCAGGCCACACUGAAGCCUGAGGUGGAGAAAAAUUGGUAGCACCCAUCCUGUUCUGACUUAAGAUUUUAGCUUUUCACUCAUCAUCAACUUUUUUUCUGUCAGUUUUUUUUUUUUUAACAUAUUGCAUUAAAAUAUUAUCUUGGUUACUGAGUGGUUUUUUUUUUUUUUUUUGGCUGCACUGCGUCUUUAUUGCUAUGCAUGGGCUUUCUCCAGUUGUGGUGAGUGGGGUCUAAUCUCUAGUUGGUGUGUGCAAGCUUCUCAUUGCAGUGGCUUCUCUUCUUGUGGAGCACAGGC